UACGUAGGGCGCAAGCGUUGUCCGGAAUCAUUGGGCGUAAGGAGCUCGUAGGCGGCCUGUCGCGUCCGCUGUGAAAUCCCGGGGCUUAACCCCGGGCGUGCAGUGGAUACGGGCUGGCUGGAGGCAGGCAGGGGAGAACGGAAUUCCCGGUGUAGCGGUGAAAUGCGCAGAUAUCGGGAGGAACACCGGUGGCGAAGGCGGGUCUCUGGGCCGAUACUGACGCUGAGGAGCGAAAGCGUGGGGAGCGAACAGG
Molecule: ribosomal RNA, 253 nt
Filed under: uncultured bacterium
Lineage: Bacteria
Description: partial 16S ribosomal RNA
Rfam family: Bacterial small subunit ribosomal RNA
Source: RNAcentral